Molecule: non-coding RNA, 125 nt
Organism: Triticum aestivum (bread wheat)
Lineage: Eukaryota; Viridiplantae; Streptophyta; Magnoliopsida; Poales; Poaceae
Source: Rfam
AAAGUACUCGCUCCGUCCGGAAAUACUUGUUGGAGAAAUGGAUAAAAAUGAAUGUAUUUAGAACUAAAAUAUAUCUAGAUACAUCCAUUCAUCCGACGAGUAUUUCCGGAAGGAGGGAGUAACAC